RNAcentral lists this ribosomal RNA (433 nucleotides) under uncultured bacterium. RNAcentral describes it as "partial 16S ribosomal RNA". It matches the Rfam family "Bacterial small subunit ribosomal RNA", at positions 29 to 507 of the family's 1533-position model. The record is from RNAcentral.
AACGAACGCUGGCGGCAUGCCUAACACAUGCAAGUCGAACGAGACCUUCGGGUCUAGUGGCGCACGGGUGCGUAACGCGUCGGAAUCUUCCCUCAUGUUCGGCAUACCUCAGAGAAAUUUGAGCUAAUACCGGAUGAUGACGUAUGUCCAAUGAUUUAUCGCCUGAGGAUGAGCGCGCUUAGGAUUAGGUGGUUGUUAAGGUAAAAGCUCACCAAGCCGCCGAUCCUUAGCUGGUUAGAGAGGAUGGUCAGCGACACUGAGACUGAGACGCGGCCCGGACUCCUACGCAAGGGAGGAGUGGGUGAUAGUGGAAAAUGGGCGGAAGCAUGAUGGAGUUAUGCUGCGUGAGUGAUGAAGGUCUUAGGGUUGUAAAGCGCAUUUACCCGGGAUGAUAAUGACAGUACCGGGAGAAUAAGCUCCGGCUAACUCCGUG